RNAcentral lists this non-coding RNA (182 nucleotides) under Alteromonas aestuariivivens. RNAcentral describes it as "6S / SsrS RNA". It matches the Rfam family "6S / SsrS RNA". From Rfam's summary of the family: E. coli 6S RNA was the first non coding RNA to be sequenced, but its function was unknown until recently. It consists of 184 nucleotides that fold into an extended hairpin structure with a large single-stranded internal bulge. Lineage: Bacteria; Pseudomonadati; Pseudomonadota; Gammaproteobacteria; Alteromonadales; Alteromonadaceae. The record is from Rfam by way of RNAcentral.
UGUCUCCUGGGAUGUUUGCCAGUUCAUUCAUGUCCCUGGCCGAUGCUACUUAAAAGGAAGUUGACUUUGUGACUAUUGCGCAGGCUCGGCGCGUACCGAGAAGCCUACGGUCAUGACGAUUCUUCCACCGUGUCCUUUUCGGCACACGGGCGAACGAUGGACAGCGGCAUUUUGGGAGACAC